Molecule: ribosomal RNA, 253 nt
Filed under: uncultured bacterium
Lineage: Bacteria
Description: partial 16S ribosomal RNA
Rfam family: Bacterial small subunit ribosomal RNA
Source: RNAcentral
UACGAAGGGAGCUAGCGUUGUUCGGAAUCACUGGGCGUAAAGCGCACGUAGGCGGAUUGUUAAGUCGGGGGUGAAAUCCUGGAGCUCAACUUCAGAAUUGCCUUCGAUACUGGCUUUCUAGAGGCUGGAAGAGGUUAGUGGAAUUCCCGGUGUAGUGGUGAAAUGCGUAGAGAUCGGGAGGAACACCAGUGGCGAAAGCGGCCUCCUGGACUGUACCUGACGCUGAGACACGGAAGCUAGGGGAGCGAGCGGG